GACAAACGCUGGCGGCAUGCCUAACACAUGCAAGUCGAACGGACAGAACAGGGAAGCUUUUCGGAGUGGAACUGGAAAGUUAGUGGCGGAUGGGUGAGUAACGCGUGGACAACCUACCUUGUAAAGGGGAAUAACCUCGAGAAAUCGAAGCUAAUACCCCAUAAUAACCUUGCUUCGCAUGAAGUAAGGAGGAAAGGCGGCCUUAGCGCUGUCGAUACAAGAUGGGUCCGCGUCUGAUUAGCUAGUUGGGGAGGUAAAGGCUCACCAAGGCGACGAUCAGAGUACCGCCUCAGAGGGUGAACGGCCACAUUGGGACUGAGACACGGCCCAAACUCCUACGGGAGGCAGCAGUGGGGAAUCUUCCGCAAUGGGCGAAAGCCUGACGGAGCAAUGCCGCGUGAGUGAAGAAGGCCUUCGGGUUGUAAAACUCUGUCCUUAUCGAAGAGAGAGUGUUGUAGUAACUGACAAUACUAGGACGGUAGAUGAGGAGGAAGCCCCGGCUAACUAUGUG
RNAcentral lists this ribosomal RNA (511 nucleotides) under uncultured bacterium. RNAcentral describes it as "partial 16S ribosomal RNA". It matches the Rfam family "Bacterial small subunit ribosomal RNA", at positions 28 to 507 of the family's 1533-position model. The record is from RNAcentral.